UAUAGGCCCGGUUCACGUAUAUUUUAUUAAUUUAAAAUUUGUCUACAGUUCAGGUAUUGGAUCAAUCAGUCUUUUUGUUUGUGACAUUACCGAUGUUACAGCGCCGAUACGGGUCUGAGUAAAUACUUCACAGUUAUCAUUUCGUUUCUUUUCGUUUGAUUCCUUGCGUUUUCAGUCAAACGAACAUCAACAAUAUAAAAUAGAAACUUCAAACCCCGUAUUUAAAAUUCUAAAAACAAACCACGAAAUUGUCGAAGUAAAUUUAUAAUUAGAAGCAAAAAAAUAUAAAAGUUAUACACGAACAGUACACGCAUGAGAGGAAUGCAGAGAAUGGCAUAGUAGACGUUACAGAUGAGUGGCACGUAUAGAUACAGCACUACAGGGAAAUAUCAAAUCAUUAUUCGAACAUCUACGCGCGGAAUAUAAAAGUUGUUGGUGAGGCGAAAUUGAGGAUAUUUAUCAAUAUUUUGUGUGAAUUUGUGCCAUUCAGCAAUAACUUUUUGUGGCACCCCAGACGCCGCAUUCUUAAGUGGUGAGCGCAUAAAAGCACGCUAAAAUGGGAGAAGAAGAGACGAGGAGGCGGAUGUGCCCCGAAAAGAAAGAUCCCACGGACGACCAAAGCCUGGGGAAGGCGGCACUCUUGGCAACUAUCGGCAUGGCAGUCGGUCUGGUGCUGUGCGCCACCACAGCGGGCACGGCUGCCUCGGCGGCGGUGGCGGCGGAGUAGGAAGGAAUUACAAGUAAAACGCACGUAGCAUAA
Long non-coding RNA from Zeugodacus cucurbitae (melon fly), 760 nucleotides. RefSeq lists it as uncharacterized. The transcript has 2 exons. NCBI's taxonomy places the organism in Eukaryota, Metazoa, Arthropoda, Insecta, Diptera, Tephritidae. The record is from RefSeq and is a predicted model, not a curated record.